RNAcentral lists this ribosomal RNA (497 nucleotides) under uncultured bacterium. Its description in RNAcentral is "partial 16S ribosomal RNA". It matches the Rfam family "Bacterial small subunit ribosomal RNA", at positions 28 to 507 of the family's 1533-position model. The record is from RNAcentral.
GAUGAACGCUGGCGGCGUGCCUAAUACAUGCAAGUCGAGCGAACAGACGAGGAGCUUGCUCCUCUGACGUUAGCGGCGGACGGGUGAGUAACACGUGGAUAACCUACCUAUAAGACUGGGAUAACUUCGGGAAACCGGAGCUAAUACCGGAUAAUAUAUUGAACCGCAUGGUUCAAUAGUGAAAGACGGUUUUGCUGUCACUUAUAGAUGGAUCCGCGCCGCAUUAGCUAGUUGGUAAGGUAACGGCUUACCAAGGCAACGAUGCGUAGCCGACCUGAGAGGGUGAUCGGCCACACUGGAACUGAGACACGGUCCAGACUCCUACGGGAGGCAGCAGUAGGGAAUCUUCCGCGAUGGGCGAAAGCCUGACGGAGCAACGCCGCGUGAGUGAUGAAGGUCUUCGGAUCGUAAAACUCUGUUAUUAGGGAAGAACAAAUGUGUAAGUAACUAUGCACGUCUUGACGGUACCUAAUCAGAAAGCCACGGCUAACUACGUG